This 465-nucleotide ribosomal RNA is filed under the name uncultured bacterium. RNAcentral describes it as "partial 16S ribosomal RNA". It matches the Rfam family "Bacterial small subunit ribosomal RNA", at positions 28 to 507 of the family's 1533-position model. The record is from RNAcentral.
GAUGAACGCUGGCGGCGUGCUUAACACAUGCAAGUCGAACGGAAAGGCUCCUGCUUGCAGGGGUACUCGAGUGGCGAACGGGUGAGUAACACGUGGGUGAUCUGCCCUGCACUUCGGGAUAAGCCUGGGAAACUGGGUCUAAUACCGGAUAGGACGAUGGUUUGGAUGCCAUUGUGGAAAGUUUUUCGGUGUGGGAUGAGCUCGCGGCCUAUCAGCUUGUUGGUGGGGUAAUGGCCUACCAAGGCGUCGACGGGUAGCCGGCCUGAGAGGGUGUACGGCCACAUUAGGACUGAGAUACGGCCCAGACUCCUACGGGAGGCAGCAGUGGGGAAUAUUGCACAAUGGGCGCAAGCCUGAUGCAGCGACGCCGCGUGGGGGAUGACGGCCUUCGGGUUGUAAACUCCUUUCGCUAGGGACGAAGCGCAAGUGACGGUACCUGGAGAAGAAGCACCGGCUAACUACGUG